RNAcentral lists this non-coding RNA (71 nucleotides) under Gonyaulax spinifera. The record is from RNAcentral. Lineage: Eukaryota; Dinophyceae; Gonyaulacales; Gonyaulacaceae.
GGCGACGAGCGGAAGCUUGAGGUGGAUGAUGACUAUAAUGGUGGAGAAGGCCGUGAGGCUGGCCUCCCAGA